CAAAAGCGUAUAUUAAAGUUGUUGCAGUUAAAAAGCUCGUAGUUGAACCUUGGGCUUGGCUGGCCGGUCCAUCUUUUUUGAUGCGUACUGGACCCAGCCGAGCCUUUCCUUCUGGCUAGCCUUUUGGCGAACCAGGACUUUUACUUUGAAAAAAUUAGAGUGUUCAAAGCAGGCCUUUGCUCGAAUAUAUUAGCAUGGAAUAAUAGAAUAGGACGUUAUGGUUCUAUUUUGUUGGUUUCUAGGACCAUCGUAAUGAUUAAUAGGGACGGUCGGGGGUAUCAGUAUUCAGUUGUCGGAGGUGAAAUUCUUGGAUUUACUGAAGACUAACUACUGCGAAAGCAUUUACCAAGGACGUUUUCAUUAA
This 364-nucleotide ribosomal RNA is filed under the name uncultured eukaryote. RNAcentral describes it as "partial 18S ribosomal RNA". It matches the Rfam family "Eukaryotic small subunit ribosomal RNA", at positions 592 to 976 of the family's 1831-position model. The record is from RNAcentral.